RNA transcript from Bufo gargarizans (Asiatic toad), 3606 nucleotides. It is a transcript of the gene named solute carrier family 49 member 4, with no coding region annotated. The record is from RefSeq and is a predicted model, not a curated record. The transcript has 2 exons. Lineage: Eukaryota; Metazoa; Chordata; Amphibia; Anura; Bufonidae.
CCCAGAAAGACGUUUCUGAGAUGCCGCGCUGCCAUCGACUUCUAAAGGAGUUAAUAUUUUUUUUUAUUUUUAUUUUUUUAUAUGAAAUGGUGAGCGGUCUCCUUCCAUCAUCCGAUACGCGAUCUGCUGGGGGAUUUACAAAUCGCCGCAUUUUGUUAUUUACAUUGUAUCCUCGCCCCAACUUUUUUGGAAUUGGGGUUGUAUUUUAGUGGUUACCGUGACUUAAAAAAACUAAAACUGGUCUGCAGUCUUCAUCCCUUCAUUCAUUUGGCCUCAUCAAGGGCACCAUGGAGUUUUUUUUUAUUCAUGUAAAUAAGUUACGUUUUAGUUUAGAUUCCAAGGCUCUGGAUCCAUUGAAAAUGUGUUACUGAAGUCUCUCAUGACCCCAGAUCCGGGGGAUACGUCCCUGCUGCCUUUUUCUUCAUAUUAUGGGAGCGUCUGGAUUACGCAAAUUUAGGGCGAGAAUUUAUUUUAGUUUUUUCUUUGUAAAAUGUUGCUAACGAUGUGUUUUGUGUCUGCCGCAGCGACCCUUUACACCUCGUGCAUCCUGAUCGGAGUCUUUCUCAACAGCACGGUGCCAAUAUUCUUCGAGAUGUUUGUGGAGACCGUUUACCCCGUCCCGGAGGGCAUCACCUGUGGCUUUGUCACCUUCUUGAGUAAUAUCUUCACUGGACUCUUGUUGGUGUUUUUAACUUUUUAUAACACAGAGUUGUCGUGGCUGAACUGGUGCCUGACGGGAUCUAGCUUUCUCAGCCUGCUCUUACUUGUGUGCUUCAGGGAAUCCUAUGAUAGACUCUAUCUCGAUGUCUUUAUAUCCGUGUAAUAGCCCCAAACGGGCUGAACACUCCGCUCACGGCACAAUUGUCUGGAAUUGCACAAUAGACUGGAGGAAGACGAGCGACACGAGGCCGCUGGGCUGAUAUUAACUACUAAAUAAAAAGUCCCACGUGUGUAUUUUACUCUGUGGUCCCCGGGACGGAGGAGCAUCAAUUACCAGGGAAGUCUGCUGCUCUCGCCCCCGCUGCGGGAGUCGUUAUUGGAGGUGGAGGAUCUUAAUGUUUUAAUGAUGAAUAGGUUGCAAUAUGUCGAGUCUGACCACACGGCUUAUCAUAUGAAAGGUUGGUAAUCUGCGGGGAGGUGGGCAGCGAAUGGCGGAUAAUCUCAUUCUGAAUGUCGUCUGUACAAGAGGGCCCAACAUUCUCCCCGAGAAGAGGACUGACUGACACCUGUGCGCCGGUGUCCUGCAUGGGCCCCCCCAGGAGAUUGAAUCCACUACUACAGCCUUGUUAACCAGGAUAUGGCCGCCGGACCGUCCAGUGAAGACCGCCACGAUGGGAUGUAGUGCUGCUGUAGUAGUUGUCAGUUUGGUUGCAGAUCUUUAAUUGUACAAUGAUUCCGGUUGUCCCUGAACGUUCACAUCGCUUUUCCUAAAAUGCCUUCUAAAAUGUAUGUCAUUGGCUAAUUUUACCUUCCGGCCAGUCUUCCUCCAAAUGCACACUUUCCAGUGUUGCGGCGUACAGGUUCCAGUCUCUUUAGAGUACGUGGAGGAGGCGCCAGGAGGGCUCCGUACUGGUGUAAGCGUGCCGCUGCGCUGAAAGCUCUGCGGAGACAUCAGUCCAGGAGGAACAGCGAGUCAGUCUACAACGCUCACAAGUAACUGGCACCGUCUCCACGUCCUCCGAGAGACUGACCUCCAUACAGCUGGAUACCGGCUGCAGCUUCAGGAGGCCUAUUGUGGCAGCAUGAAGGUAAAAUCCAUUAACAAAGAUGAUUUUUAGGGCAUUUGGAAAAGUGGAGCUGUCUCCUCUCCUGACGUCUGUUCUAGUAACUGAUUGCACCCCCAUGUAAUAGUUCUGAUAGCAAUUCACCGAGGAAUGGCUCAACAUAGUCGUAGGAAUAGGUACUCCAGAAUUAUUACACGAGGGAUGCAAGUACUUACUAAAACAGACCUGUCAGGACUGGGGAUCACUAUACACUUCAUUAGACAAUGAGCUAUAUCUGCCGCCUAUAGAGGGGCGCGGGCUUCCUGUCCUGAGCGAUUACAGUAUAUGACUAGCCUGGCGUUAUCUGUAUGGGGUAAAGAUUUCAACAUUGUUUAUUCGUUCUGCAGCUCCUCCAUAUUUUUUUAAAAUCUGGAUGACUAGUCUUGGUAGGACGGACUUUGCACAGCAGUCUGGGGGUUAAAGUUGUGUGUUGAUGACCUAUUCUCAGGAUGGGUCACCGGUAUCCGAUCGGAGAGCGCCGUGGCCUAUCCGUUGGGUAGUGGCUGUGUCUGCUAUUGCAGCUGAGGCCCAUUCACUUCACUGAGACCUGUACCUUGGCCAUGUGACUGAUGUCGGGUCGGACCCCCACCGAUCUGAUAUUGGUGACCUGUCCUGAGGAUAGGCCGACACUAUAGCAGAAAACGCCUUUAAUGAGCUGAGAGCCCUGCAACGUUUGAGGAUCUGUCCGUGAAACGUCUGAUGGAAUAUACUGUAUAUGCAGAGGGAUUUAUCCACUGGCUUUUCUGACUUGAUUACCAGCAGAGGGCUUUUAUUAAAUCUCCUUUAGUCUCGGCCAUACUGGAGGAGACUGAUGAACUGGAUCACUGACCACAAAGCCCAGCAGCUGACACUUGUCCUGAUGGAGUGUGGGAUCUCAGCUCUUCCCCGUCACGUCUGGUGUUGUGCUGUGAGAUCAUCACCUAGAAAUGUCACCGUGUAAAGACCGCAGCGAUCGGUUCUCGGGGUCUCUUGUCACAGAUGUUUUUUCCUGGGUUAUAUCUGGAGGCGGCUGUAGGACGGUCUCAUGUAAUCAUGGCCGUCUGCUGAAUUACAAUCUGAGCCUACAGCAGUAAUGAGCUCCAUGCUCUGCCUCCGUGGGAAUCCACUGUGGGUUCGAGGAACUGACUGCGCGGCGCCUCUGAUGGGAUGUGACACCAAGACGUUAGAGGUUCCAUUCACUGUAGAACACAUAAAGGGGGGGACAUGGAGUAAAAUAUGGGGAGAUAUUAGGACAGCUUGCCCCAAAGUAUUUUUGAUGGAAAUGUUGGGGAACACUUUACUGGUAUAUUGCACUUCAUGGGACGCCAGUGUCUGAGAAUCGGAAGACUCCCUUUAACUGAUGGCGGAUGUGUGAUGUCCCCCUAAAUAUCCUCUUAAAGGAUGCCUCUUCAUUUUCUAGAAGGCCUCUAUUGAAGCCCAUACUCGCUAUGACCUCUAGAGUGGUGGUGGUCGUGCGCCGCUCAGGAAGAGGUCCUGGAGACACUCGGCAGACGGCCUAGUCAUUGGGAAAGGUUGGAUUUGGGAUAUGGCGGGAAGUUGCACUUUCCAGUGAGAUUUCUGUGACCUCAGAUCUUCAGGAUAAGGUGGAGCCGUGGCUCCACGUGGCAUUAUGUUUGUCGUGUACUCAUGCUGCUAAUAUUCCGGAGAGCGAAGCGCUAAGGUUCCGGUGUCUCUCCUUCUCUCAUCGAUAACCUGGUGUGACUGUUCUCUAAUCUCUGUAUAUGACGGCGGUUGUUCUUUGUCUGAUGCUCUGUUAACCUGUUCACUGCUAGGAUUGUCAGGUAACCCGAUUUUAUAAGGAUUUUUUUUAGUUUAUGGUGAAAUAAAAAACCUUUUAAAAACC